AGGCCCGGAAGGGGCGGGGCCAGGCCUGGAGCGUCGGAGCGCCAAGCCGGGCCGUGGCGCUUUCUUUUCCGCUUGGCCGCGGGAGAAGGAAGGGCUUUGAGGCUCCGUCUGCCUUACGGGAGUGGCGGCAACGCCCGCGGACACGUCUCCCGGCUCUUCGAGGGGGGAAGUCCCCGCGGAGUUAGAUCAUUUUCUAUUUCUUCCGGGAACCCGACUCCGUGCCAGAGUCUAUAAGUCGGCCUCGGGCCACUCCGCCUUGUGCGUUCCGCCCCGGGGCCCCCCAUCCCGAUGGCCUCCGUCCAUUGCCCGGCACAGCCCAGCGGUCGGCGCGGCCUAGGCCUCCAAGUCAUCCCAGGAGGCCACCUUCCCCUCCCCCACCCGGUUGACGCCGCCUCGAGCUCUCCUCCGUGCUUCUGCUCAAUCGCAUUUUGUGUAGCAGUGCCUAUGAGUUGAAGAUCAUUGUGAUAAAUGUUUUCCAAAAACCUGUCACAGAAGAUGGCUGUGAAAACACAAGGAGGACCGCUGCACAUGUAACAAGAUAAGUACCUGCAAAUGAAUGUUCAAGUGCUUAGCAGUGGUGCUUAAAAACUCUUCAUUACCUCAAAGGUGUGGCAAACGACGUUUUCGAAGGAAAAAUGAAGAGUUGUUCAAGAAGACGUGCAUGAAAGCAAGUGACAAAAAUUAAAAUUGUAUUUAAUGUUCAUCUCACAAUAAAUUAUGGAGAAAAGUACAUCUUCCAAUAAUUUUAAUUGCUGGGCAAUAAAGUCUGUUCUCUUU
RNAcentral lists this long non-coding RNA (777 nucleotides) under Bos indicus x Bos taurus (hybrid cattle). Its description in RNAcentral is "lncRNA (ENSBIXG00000017941.1)". The record is from RNAcentral. Lineage: Eukaryota; Metazoa; Chordata; Mammalia; Artiodactyla; Bovidae.